GGCUUUAUAUUCAUUUAAAAUGAUUUUAGAUUGCAAAUCUAAAGGAGUAAUGGUUAAUUACUAAGGCUU
This 69-nucleotide transfer RNA is filed under the name Boreoheptagyia zhengi. RNAcentral describes it as "tRNA-Cys". Lineage: Eukaryota; Metazoa; Arthropoda; Insecta; Diptera; Chironomidae. The record is from RNAcentral.